CUGAGUACGGCGGAACACGUGAAAUUCCGUCGGAAUCCGGGAGGACCAUCUCCCAAGGCUAAAUACUCCCUAGUGACCGAUAGUGAACCAGUACCGUGAGGGAAAGGUGAAAAGCACCCCGGAAGGGGAGUGAAACAGUUCCUGAAACCGUGUGCCUACAAGUAGUUAGAGCCCGUUAAUGGGUGAUAGCGUGCCUUUUGUAGAAUGAACCGGCGAGUUACGAUUUGUUGCAAGGUUAAGCGGAAAAAGCGGAGCCGUAGCGAAAGCGAGUCUGAAUAGGGCGCAUAAGUAACAGGUCGUAGACCCGAAACCAGGUGAUCUACCCAUGUCCAGGAUGAAGGUAAGGUAAUACUUACUGGAGGUCCGAACCCACGCACGUUGAAAAGUGCGGGGAUGAGGUGUGGGUAGCGGAGAAAUUCCAAUCGAACUUGGAGAUAGCUGGUUCUCUCCGAAAUAGCUUUAGGGCUAGCCUCGAGGUAAAGAGUCAUGGAGGUAGAGCACUGUUUGGACUAGGGGCCCUUCUCGGGUUACCGAAUUCAGAUAAACUCCGAAUGCCAUGUACUUAUACUCGGGAGUCAGACUGCGAGUGAUAAGAUCCGUAGUCGAAAGGGAAACAGCCCAGACCACCAGUUAAGGUCCCCAAAUAUAUGUUAAGUGGAAAAGGAUGUGGGGUUGCUUAGACAACCAGGAUGUUGGCUUAGAAGCAGCCACCAUUGAAAGAGUGCGUAAUAGCUCACUGGUCGAGUGACCCCGCGCCGAAAAUGUACCGGGGCUAAACAUAUUACCGAAACUGUGGAUGAACCUCUUUAGAGGUUCGUGGUAGGAGAGCGUUCUAAGGGCGGUGAAGUCAGACCGGAAGGACUGGUGGAGCGCUUAGAAGUGAGAAUGCCGGUAUGAGUAGCGAAAGAAGGGUGAGAAUCCCUUCCACCGAAUAUCUAAGGUUUCCUGAGGAAGGCUCGUCCGCUCA
This 967-nucleotide ribosomal RNA is filed under the name Listeria monocytogenes. Its description in RNAcentral is "partial 23S ribosomal RNA". It matches the Rfam family "Bacterial large subunit ribosomal RNA", at positions 408 to 1376 of the family's 2925-position model. Lineage: Bacteria; Bacillati; Bacillota; Bacilli; Caryophanales; Listeriaceae. The record is from RNAcentral.